Molecule: ribosomal RNA, 1867 nt
Filed under: human gut metagenome
Description: bacterial LSU rRNA
Rfam family: Bacterial large subunit ribosomal RNA
Source: RNAcentral
GCUAAGGUCCCUAAUUAUAACUAAGUGGGAAAGGAGGUGGAGAUUCACAAACAACCAGGAGGUUGGCUUAGAAGCAGCCAUACCUUUAAAGAGUGCGUAAUAGCUCACUGGUCGAGAGUCUCUGCGCCGACAAUGUAACGGGGCUAAGUUAUAAACCGAAGCUGUGGAAUUGCGCAAGCAAUUGGUAGGAGAGCGUUCUGUAGGCCGUUGAAGGAGAAGCGCAAGCAACUCUGGAGGUAUCAGAAGUGAGAAUGCAGGAAUAAGUAGCGAGAAAGGGGGCGAGAAUCCCCCUCGCCGGAAGACCAAGGUUUUCAGGGUAAAGCUUGUCUUCCCUGAGUAAGCCGGGACCUAAGCCGAGGCUAAAAUGCGUAGGCGAAUGGAAAACAGAUUAAUAUUUCUGUGCCAGUUAUAUUUUGUGAAGGAGGGACGCAGAAGGGUAUGUGCGCGGGAGAACGGAAGUUCCCGUAGAAGCAUGUAGAGUGGUCUAGUAGGCAAAUCCGCUAGAUUAGACUUGAGGUGUGAUAUAUAGUCGUAAGAUGAAUGCACAAAUCCCACGCUGCCGAGAAAAGCUUCUAACGUUAAGGUAUAACUGCCCGUACCCGAAACCGACACAGGUGGUCAGGAUGAGAAAUCUAAGGCGGACAGGCUAACUCUCGUUAAGGAACUCUGCAAAAUAGCCCCGUAACUUUGGGAGAAGGGGUGCCCCUGAAUGUAAAUAUACACGCGAUAUGAAGCAUUUGGGGGUCGCAGUGAAGAGGCUCAAGCAACUGUUUAACAAAAACACAGGUCUAUGCUAAGCUGUAAGGCGAUGUAUAUGGGCUGACACCUGCCCAGUGCCGGAAGGUUAAGAGGAGGAGUGAGAGCUCCGAAUUGAAGCCCCGGUGAACGGCGGCCGUAACUAUAACGGUCCUAAGGUAGCGAAAUUCCUUGUCGGGUAAGUUCCGACCUGCACGAAUGGUGUAAUGAUUUGAGCGCUGUCUUGACGGGAGGCCUGGUGAAAUUGUACUACCGGUGAAGAUACCGGUUACCUACAGUAGGACGGAAAGACCCCAUGGAGCUUUACUGUAGCUUGGUAUUGGGUUUUGGCAUUGCAUGUAUAGGAUAGUUGGGAAACUAAGAAGGUAUGGCGCUAGCUGUAUUGGAGUUGUCGGUGGAAUACCAACCAUUCAAUGUUGAAAUUCUAAUCUGUGGUUUGUAGCCACGGAAACAGUGCUAGGUGGGCAGUUUGACUGGGGCGGUCGCCUCCGAAAGAGUAACGGAGGCGUUCAAAGGUUCUCUCAGGUUGGAUGGAAAUCAACCGCAGAGUGCAAUGGCAUAAGAGAGCUUAACUGCAAGACUGACGGGUCGAGCAGGUGCGAAAGCAGGACAUAGUGAUCCGGCGAUUCCGAAUGGAAGGGUCGUCGCUCAACGGAUAAAAGCUACCCUGGGGAUAACAGGCUGAUUUUGCCCGAGAGUCCAUAUCGACGGCAAAGUUUGGCACCUCGAUGUCGGCUCAUCGCAUCCUGGGGCUGGAGAAGGUCCCAAGGGUUGGGCUGUUCGCCCAUUAAAGCGGUACGUGAGCUGGGUUCAGAACGUCGUGAGACAGUUCGGUCCCUAUCCACUGUAGGCGUUAGAAUAUUGAGAAGAUCUGUCCUUAGUACGAGAGGACCGGGAUGGACAAACCUCUGAUGUACCAGUUGUCACGCCAGUGGCACAGCUGGGUAGUCACGUUUGGAACGGAUAACCGCUGAAAGCAUCUAAGCGGGAAACCAGCUUCAAGAUAAGUAUUCUUUAAGACUCCUUCGAGACUAGAAGGUUGAUAGGUUGGGGGUGUAAGGGCUGCGAGGCUUUUAGCUGACCAAUACUAAUAAGUCAAAGUUUUAACCUA